Molecule: long non-coding RNA, 511 nt
Filed under: Terrapene triunguis (Three-toed box turtle)
Lineage: Eukaryota; Metazoa; Chordata; Testudines; Emydidae
Description: Terrapene carolina triunguis (Three-toed box turtle) lncRNA (ENSTMTG00000007777.1)
Source: RNAcentral
CCAAAUUAAAACACAAAUCCGCGACAGGUCCCGUUUAAGGCUGAAGUGAUUUCUUUGGUAUUGUUGCAGACGCAACUUCUGAGUCAUCGGAAUCAUGUUCAGCGUGUGAGAGAGGAGCGAGGGAGACAGGUAGCUGCUGAGGAAGGGAAAUAUCAAACUCUACUGGACAUUGACAGCGCCUUAAGCAGGUGUGAGCAGGUGAAAGGUGAAGAGGAGGCGCCUGUUGAUUCUUUGACUGAACUGGAGAGCAGAGUGCAGGCUCUCUGGGAAAGCCAGAAAGUUUUACGUGAUCUGCUGAAGAAUUUCAGAGUGGAAUUAGCUCCAGAAUUGGGUCCUCUUGAAAACAUCUCGUCUGAGGUUCAGAGACAAGUGAGUGGUGAAGACCCAACGGAGGAUGUUCCCGAGAACCUUAAACAAGAGGACACUUCUGUUUGCCUGCUGAACUGUGAGGAUGGCAAACACAGUUCAGACAGGUAAGUGUCUUCUUCUCUCUGUCACACUCAUACUUCGC